UCGGAUAACGGGUAGGUAUAGAGUUAGGGUUUGCAGACUCUUUAUAUAUUUAUUCGUUCCCUCAUCAUUAUUUUAUAAUCUUGUGAGAGCCUCGCAACUUUUUCUUCAUUUUUCUUACAAAAAUUCGCAGGCCUUUAUUCACACAAAUCAGCUUUCUUGUAAAAUUCGUAGAAAAUUCAAUUCUUAUCGGAUUUCAAUGAUUCUUGAUGUUUCGGAAAGCUCUUUCAAUCUCCUACAACUUUCGUUCACAAUGUUUUCUCAGAUUCUUUUUCGAACUGUUCUCAUAAUCCCAAAACUUAUUCAGACCCUGUUUUUCGCUUCGAAUCUGAGUCAGCAGAUGUUUUAUUUGAUUCCCGAUUCGUUAUGAGUCCGUUUUCGACGAGCCAUACCUUUUCGGAAAGGUCUUUUCGUUCUCUGCAACUUUUGUGUUUUGCGUUUUCCAAAACAAUGUCGUUUAGGGGGUCAAAACAGUAUAUUAGUGAUCUGGGCAGAUUGGAUUCAUGGAGGCUUUUGGAGUUUUAGAGGAGAUGAUUGUGGUUGGUUGCUAAGGAUUGAUUAUAUGAUCUAAGAUGAUGUUAAUUAUUGGUUUUCGGUGUUGUGGUAAGUUUCUGAUUGAUCUUUCUGGUAUUUUUAAACUGAUGUGUUAUAUGUUUAUAUUUGAUCUAUAAAUUUGGGCUAAGUGAUUAUAUUUUGAAUUGAUUUUUGUUCUCAUAUAUGUGCGGUGUUGACGAUGAUUUCGGAACUCUCGAUUUAUGCCAUGGUUUGUGAAAAUAAGAAUAAGAAUAAGGACCGAGUCACCGGGUUAUAGUGACAGUUUUCAGAAAAUUCAGGACCGUUAUCACCGGGUUGUAGUGGUCGUGGUAUAAACUAUGAGUUCUGAGUUAUUGU
This 888-nucleotide long non-coding RNA is filed under the name Daucus carota (carrot). RNAcentral's name for it is "long non-coding RNA (DCAR_LNC002974)". Lineage: Eukaryota; Viridiplantae; Streptophyta; Magnoliopsida; Apiales; Apiaceae. The record is from RNAcentral.